This 490-nucleotide ribosomal RNA is filed under the name uncultured bacterium. RNAcentral describes it as "partial 16S ribosomal RNA". It matches the Rfam family "Bacterial small subunit ribosomal RNA", at positions 30 to 507 of the family's 1533-position model. The record is from RNAcentral.
AUUGAACGCUGGCGGCAGGCCUAACACAUGCAAGUCGAACGGUAACAGGAAGAAGCUUGCUUCUUUGCUGACGAGUGGCGGACGGGUGAGUAAUGUCUGGGAAACUGCCUGAUGGAGGGGGAUAACUACUGGAAACGGUAGCUAAUACCGCAUAACGUCGCAAGCCCAAAGAGGGGGACCUUCGGGCCUCUUGCCCUCGGAUGUGCCCAGAUGGGAUUAGCUAGUAGGUGGGGUACCGGCUCACCUAGGCGACGAUCCCUAGCUGGUCUGAGAGGAUGACCAGCCACACUGGAACUGAGACACGUUCAAGACUCCUACGGGAGGCAGCAGUGGGGAAUAUUGCACAAUGGGCGCAAGCCUGAUGCAGCCAUGCCGCGUGUAUGAAGAAGGCCUUCGGGUUGUAAAGUACUUUCAGCGGGGAGGAAGGGAGUAAAGUUAAUACCUUUGCUCAUUGACGUUACCCGCAGAAGAAGCACCGGCUAACUCCGUG